UCUCGAUCGAGCUGACGACUGCCACCUCCACACCUCGUCAGUCUCACUCGCUUCUCGCAGUUGGAGCCAUCCUCUCUUCUGCUGCCUGGCCUCGGUUACAUCGACGUCACGCAUCGUGCCGGCCAGCUUGGCCAAAAAUAGAAACUGAGGAGCAGAUGAAGUGACGUCGCCAGGCACAAUCCGAGCCUAGUGGCAGAUAAGCUUCAGUCACCCACGCACCGCUCCUCUUCCAGCGUCAGUCUCGAGUGAUUCAGCGAGCGAAGCAUUGACCCACAUGACCCGGGCGGUGCUCAGCGGGAGGGUCAGGACGAGGAUGGCAAGAGGUCUCCCGCGUGGGGGAGGAGCUCACCUGCCACAUGCGCCCGACCUGCCAUGACGUCAUUGGCCCUUACUCUCUAACCUGACUUAGUAUGACCUGACCUUUUUUCUCACAUGAUUGGGCACACACACACACACACACACACACACACACACACACACACACACACACACACACACGAGUGCUGGAUCAGGAAUAUCAACAAUUUUUCAUGACCCUAAUAAACCAAUCACUGUUCCA
This is a long non-coding RNA of Scylla paramamosain (green mud crab), 559 nucleotides long. RefSeq lists it as uncharacterized. The transcript is spliced from 4 exons. NCBI's taxonomy places the organism in Eukaryota, Metazoa, Arthropoda, Malacostraca, Decapoda, Portunidae. The record is from RefSeq and is a predicted model, not a curated record.